CCUACGGGAGGCAGCAGUGGGGAAUAUUGCACAAUGGGGGAAACCCUGAUGCAGCGACGCCGCGUGAGUGAAGAAGUAUUUCGGUAUGUAAAGCUCUAUCAGCAGGGAAGAAAAUGACGUUACCUGAUUAAGAAGCCCCUGCUAACUACGUGCCAGCAGCCGCGGUAAUACGAAGUGGGCAAGCGUUAUGCGGAUUUACUGGGUGGAAAGGGAGCGUAGACGGCAGAACAAGUCUGGAGUGAAAUGCCCGGGCUUAACCCCGGAACUGCUUUGGAAACUGUGCAGCUAGAGUGCAGGAGAGGUAAGUGGAAUUCCUCGUGUAGCGGUGAAAUGCGUAGAUAUGAGGAGGAACACCAGUGGCGAAGGCAGCUUACUGGACUGUAACUGACGUUGAGGCUCGAAAGCGUGGGGAGCAAACAGGAUUAGAUACCCGGGUAGUC
This 440-nucleotide ribosomal RNA is filed under the name uncultured bacterium. RNAcentral describes it as "partial 16S ribosomal RNA". It matches the Rfam family "Bacterial small subunit ribosomal RNA", at positions 338 to 795 of the family's 1533-position model. The record is from RNAcentral.